This 812-nucleotide ribosomal RNA is filed under the name Escherichia coli. RNAcentral's name for it is "partial 23S ribosomal RNA". It matches the Rfam family "Bacterial large subunit ribosomal RNA", at positions 745 to 1558 of the family's 2925-position model. Lineage: Bacteria; Pseudomonadati; Pseudomonadota; Gammaproteobacteria; Enterobacterales; Enterobacteriaceae. The record is from RNAcentral.
UUGAAGGUUGGGUAACACUAACUGGAGGACCGAACCGACUAAUGUUGAAAAAUUAGCGGAUGACUUGUGGCUGGGGGUGAAAGGCCAAUCAAACCGGGAGAUAGCUGGUUCUCCCCGAAAGCUAUUUAGGUAGCGCCUCGUGAAUUCAUCUCCGGGGGUAGAGCACUGUUUCGGCAAGGGGGUCAUCCCGACUUACCAACCCGAUGCAAACUGCGAAUACCGGAGAAUGUUAUCACGGGAGACACACGGCGGGUGCUAACGUCCGUCGUGAAGAGGGAAACAACCCAGACCGCCAGCUAAGGUCCCAAAGUCAUGGUUAAGUGGGAAACGAUGUGGGAAGGCCCAGACAGCCAGGAUGUUGGCUUAGAAGCAGCCAUCAUUUAAAGAAAGCGUAAUAGCUCACUGGUCGAGUCGGCCUGCGCGGAAGAUGUAACGGGGCUAAACCAUGCACCGAAGCUGCGGCAGCGACACUAUGUGUUGUUGGGUAGGGGAGCGUUCUGUAAGCCUGUGAAGGUGGCCUGUGAGGGUUGCUGGAGGUAUCAGAAGUGCGAAUGCUGACAUAAGUAACGAUAAAGCGGGUGAAAAGCCCGCUCGCCGGAAGACCAAGGGUUCCUGUCCAACGUUAAUCGGGGCAGGGUGAGUCGACCCCUAAGGCGAGGCCGAAAGGCGUAGUCGAUGGGAAACAGGUUAAUAUUCCUGUACUUGGUGUUACUGCGAAGGGGGGACGGAGAAGGCUAUGUUGGCCGGGCGACGGUUGUCCCGGUUUAAGCGUGUAGGCUGGUUUUCCAGGCAAAUCCGGAAAACCAAGGCUG